CAGCUAUCUCUACAUCCAGCAACGCUCCAUGGCAGCACCACCAACACCAUCAUCAAACAGCCACCUUCACGGUACCAGCAAAGGAAAAGAAAAGGAGGUGUGUUUAGCUUUGGAAAGGCAUGGCAGCAGCUUACAUCUUAGGGGCUGGACGCGUGAGGAUGUCACAGCUGAAUGGAGAAAGAGAAUGAUGGGAGUUUAGAAGCAUCCAGUAGCGUGAAAAUGGGAUGGACGUUAGAAGAGAAUGGAGAAAUGUCAUGGUCUUGAGUAGCUGACGCAACCAGCAGCCCCUAUGCAGAAUUGAUAAUUGGAC
Molecule: small RNA, 310 nt
Filed under: Vigna angularis var. angularis
Lineage: Eukaryota; Viridiplantae; Streptophyta; Magnoliopsida; Fabales; Fabaceae
Description: Non-protein coding transcript
Source: RNAcentral